AUUGAACGCUGGCGGAAUGCUUUACACAUGCAAGUCGAACGGCAGCACGGGUGCUUGCACCUGGUGGCGAGUGGCGAACGGGUGAGUAAUGCACCGGAACGUAUCCAAUAAUGGGGGAUAACGCACCGAAAGGUGUGCUAAUACCGCAUACGCCCUGAGGGGGAAAGCGGGGGAUCGUAAGACCUCGCGUUAAUGGAGCGGCCGAUGCCGGAUUAGCUAGUUGGUGAGGUAAAGGCUCACCAAGGCGACGAUCUGUAGCGGGUCUGAGAGGAUGAUCCGCCACACUGGAACUGAGACACGGUCCAGACUCCUACGGGAGGCAGCAGUGGGGAAUUUUGGACAAUGGGGGGCAACCCUGAUCCAGCCAUGCCGCGUGAGUGAAGAAGGCCUCGG
Molecule: ribosomal RNA, 393 nt
Filed under: uncultured bacterium
Lineage: Bacteria
Description: bacterial SSU rRNA
Rfam family: Bacterial small subunit ribosomal RNA
Source: RNAcentral